RNAcentral lists this transfer RNA (90 nucleotides) under Corynebacterium sp. RNAcentral describes it as "tRNA-Ser". It matches the Rfam family "tRNA". From Rfam's summary of the family: Transfer RNA (tRNA) molecules are approximately 80 nucleotides in length. Their secondary structure includes four short double-helical elements and three loops (D, anti-codon, and T loops). The record is from RNAcentral. Lineage: Bacteria; Bacillati; Actinomycetota; Actinomycetes; Mycobacteriales; Corynebacteriaceae. RNAcentral also lists the same sequence under 7 other names.
GGUGGCGUGACCGAGCGGCCGAAGGUACUCGCCUCGAAAGCGAGCGUCGUGUAACAGCGACCGGGGGUUCAAAUCCCUCCGCCACCGCCA